Dicentrarchus labrax (European seabass) is the source of this 909-nucleotide long non-coding RNA. RefSeq lists it as uncharacterized. The transcript has 2 exons. Lineage: Eukaryota; Metazoa; Chordata; Actinopteri; Moronidae. The record is from RefSeq and is a predicted model, not a curated record.
CAGAUAGUAACUCAUUGUCAGAACGCUGUCAGCGCUCGGCCCCUGCAUUAGUGGCUUUUGAAGAGAGGGACUGUUGACGUGGGCAGGGUGCCAGCCAAGAGGAAAAACAGGCCUACUGCCCCACACGGCACUUAACCUGACCUCUCCCCUCAGGAUGUGGAGAAAAAGGAGGAGUGUGAGUGUGUGUUGCCGUGUGUACGUGUGCACAUGUGUAUACAUGCGUGGCGAUCCCCUGCGGCCUCACUCCCAGCUCCCAGCCAGGCAGUAGAGCUUUUGGGGAGUCCACCUGUGAUGGAUCCAAAUCCAGCAACGCAACUCAGCUGUUGUGCUGAAAAACCUCUCCACUUGGUUUCACAGUGGCCUAAAGCCAGUUCUGAGAGUCAUGCUUGGUUCAGAAACAAGCUAGUGGGAAAAGAAAUGUUGAGGACAGGCUCAUGAAUACUUAUGCCACAGUAAUUAAACUCUUUUGGCUGCACUGUGCUCUCUUUUUCCUCCUCCUGUUUGUCUUUUUGCCCCUCGCAACGUCAUAGACAGAAACACACAUACCUUCUUCCCUCUAAAGGACAGAACAGACUGGCAAGCAGAGGGACGGUAGAAUUCACCAAGGCUAUCAGGAAUUCCAAGACAAACCUUGGACACCUUUACUGUGCAGCACCUGUGCCAGCAGCAAUGCACAUCUGCCUUGCAUCUGCUCAUUGCAGGUGAUUAGCGAGAUGAUAUGGUGUAUUCUCCGCCAUCUAAAUGCUACCCUGCAGUAAAUGUACCUGGUGUUUCUCUACAUUACAGACAGCACUUACCUAAAACAUACAAUUUAGUAAUAAGGGGAGUUUUAAAGACAGAAUGUGUGUAAAAAUCAUGUUCUCCAUCUGUCCUGUAAGUCUUUAGAACAAUAAAAAGCAAUCAUAUCUU